Molecule: long non-coding RNA, 1141 nt
Filed under: Monodelphis domestica (gray short-tailed opossum)
Lineage: Eukaryota; Metazoa; Chordata; Mammalia; Didelphimorphia; Didelphidae
Description: lncRNA (ENSMODG00000047697.1)
Source: RNAcentral
AGCUGCCCCCAGUGGAGUUUGGGUCACAGUCAGAAAUACAGGGAGCAGAGAAGGAAGAAAGGACUGAGGGCUCUUUCCUUGGCUAUGCUCUCCACCCUCCCCCAGCAGCUUACCGAGGUGAAGACCAGCCCAUCCCCCAGGGGCAUAGUUAGCCAUCCAAGCUUCAGGGCACAGUCCUCAAAUAUCUUCAGAUGAAUCUGAAAGGGUGAGAAGUAGAAUUGAAAUUAAAUGUAUCCUGCUUGGACCCACAAGGUGGAACCAGGAAGAACAGGUGGAAGGUGCAGAGAGACAGAUGUUGGCUCCAAAGGAAGAACUUCUUAAGAAUCAAAGCAGCUUAACAAAGGAGUGAGCUCUUUUCCAAGGUAGAAAAUGCCCCAUUAGAAGAUGUAUCCAUUCAGUUUGGAUCAACACGUCUCCAGUCCUGAACGCUGAAGCAGUAAUUCUCACACAAGGCAGGAGUUGGGAUAAAUGACCAUUCUUGGGACCCUGGAAAAUAAGCCUUAUUUGUUGAUAUUGUUUUCAACCAGAAACCCAACCAGAAGGGUCUCUGAGUGUGAGCAUUCCAUUUCCAAAGGGCCCAGCUCACUUAUGAGCCAAGGCAGACCCAAGGAAAUCACUGGGUCCUGAAAGAACUAGAAGGUGGGAUUCCUGAGCCCUUGGUGGGGAUCUCUGGAAGAGGCCUGCAAACACUCCCUGGAAGACUGACUCCUUGGGGUUAUAACAGUGACGGUGACUUUUGUGUUUCCCCGAGAUCUCAUCCACAUCCUGCAAUUCCAUUCCAAUGCUUGUUCAUGGUGUCCUGGAGGAACUGUGGAGGAGGGGGCACAGACAGUCCUUGGAUUCCCCAUUCUUGUGGAUGAUUCAGAAGGCAUCUGUCUUCUUAAUCUCAUCAGGAGCCCCCAGCAGAAGCUGCCCUGGUGAGGGCUCAGCAUGGGGGCCCUGGCUGUGGGCCAAGAAAGCAGCCUUCAGAUCUCAUUCUCCUCCCACACCCUACCCUGUCCCUGCUCCAACCCUCCAGGGAAGCAACUGCAUCUCCCUGUGAUAUGGCAGAUUCCGAGGACUUGAAAGGUCACUAGAGACCCAUAAGUAGAAAUUUAACAGAUAAAAUAAAGGGAAGCAAUAAGAAAAGAGUGAGAAAAAG